AUUGAACGCUGGCGGCAGGCCUAACACAUGCAAGUCGAGCGGAAACGAUGGAAGCUUGCUUCCAGGCGUCGAGCGGCGGACGGGUGAGUAAUGCAUAGGAAUCUGCCCGGUAGUGGGGGAUAACCUGGGGAAACCCAGGCUAAUACCGCAUACGUCCUACGGGAGAAAGCAGGGGAUCUUCGGACCUUGCGCUAUCGGAUGAGCCUAUGUCGGAUUAGCUAGUUGGUGAGGUAAUGGCUCACCAAGGCUGCGAUCCGUAGCUGGUCUGAGAGGAUGAUCAGCCACAUCGGGACUGAGACACGGCCCGAACUCCUACGGGAGGCAGCAGUGGGGAAUAUUGGACAAUGGGCGAAAGCCUGAUCCAGCCAUGCCGCGUGUGUGAAGAAGGCUUUCGGGUUGUAAAGCACUUUCAGUGGGGAAGAAAUCCUCGGGGCCAAUACCCUCGAGGGAGGACAUCACCCACAGAAGAAGCACCGGCUAACUCCGUG
This 488-nucleotide ribosomal RNA is filed under the name uncultured bacterium. RNAcentral describes it as "bacterial SSU rRNA". It matches the Rfam family "Bacterial small subunit ribosomal RNA", at positions 30 to 507 of the family's 1533-position model. The record is from RNAcentral.